RNAcentral lists this unclassified non-coding RNA (360 nucleotides) under uncultured fungus. Its description in RNAcentral is "sequence contains ITS1". The stretch from base 1 to 107 matches the Rfam family "5.8S ribosomal RNA", at positions 50 to 154 of the family's 154-position model. The record is from RNAcentral. Lineage: Eukaryota; Fungi.
GAAAUGCGAUACCUGGUGUGAAUUGCAGAAUCCCGCGAACCAUCGAGUCUUUGAACGCAAGUUGCGCCCGAGGCCACUUGGCCGAGGGCACGCCUGCCUGGGCGUCACGCCAAACACGCUCCCACCCCUCAUCGGGUUGUGGGAUGCGGCAUGUGGCUCCCCGUCUUGCAAGGGGCGGUGGGCCGAAGAUGCGGCUGCCGGCGUAUCGUGCCGGACACAGCGCGUGGUGGGCGAACUCGCUUUACUUACCGCAGUGCAUCCGGCCCAUAGCCGACGUGAUGGCCUUAAGGACCCUAUGAACGGAGCGCAUGACGCUCCGACCGCGACCCCAGGUCAGGCGGGACUACCCGCUGAAUUUAA